Molecule: ribosomal RNA, 485 nt
Filed under: uncultured soil bacterium
Lineage: Bacteria
Description: bacterial SSU rRNA
Rfam family: Bacterial small subunit ribosomal RNA
Source: RNAcentral
AGGAUGAACGCUGGCGGCGUGCCUAAUACAUGCAAGUCGAACGAGGUGCUUUUGUAGCAAUACGAGAGCAUCCUAGUGGCGAACGGGUGAGUAACGCGUUGGUGACCUACCCCAAAGUGUGGAAUAACAGUCCGAAAGGAUUGCUAAUACCGCAUGUGGUUAUCGGGCUUAGAAACUGAUAACUAAAGGAGCAAUUCGCUUUGGGAGGGACCUGCGUCCCAUCAGCUAGUUGGUGAGGUAACGGCUCACCAAGGCUACGACGGGUAGGGGACCUGAGAGGGUGACCCCCCACAAUGGAACUGAAACACGGUCCAUACACCUACGGGUGGCAGCAGUAGGGAAUAUUGCACAAUGGGCGAAAGCCUGAUGCAGCAACGCCGCGUGUGCGAUGGAAGGCCUUCGGGGUCGUAAAGCACUUUUCUGAGAGAUGAGAAAGGACAGUAUCUCAGGAAUAAGUCUCGGACUAACUACGUGCCAGCAGCCGC